This 737-nucleotide ribosomal RNA is filed under the name Pavlova sp. CCMP459. RNAcentral's name for it is "partial Bacterial small subunit ribosomal RNA". It matches the Rfam family "Bacterial small subunit ribosomal RNA", at positions 30 to 794 of the family's 1533-position model. Lineage: Eukaryota; Haptophyta; Pavlovophyceae; Pavlovales; Pavlovaceae. The record is from RNAcentral.
UGAACGCUGGCGGUAUGCCUAACACAUGCAAGUCGAACGAGGUAGCAAUACCUAGUGGCGGACGGGUGAGGAAUACGUAGGGAUCUGCCUUUAAGUGGGGGAUAACCCGGGGAAACCCGGAUUAAUACCGCAUGAUCUCGCAAGAGCAAAGUGGGGGAUCGCAAGACCUCACGCUUUUAGAGGAACCUACGUCGGAUUAGCUUGUUGGUGAGGUAAUGGCUCACCAAGGCGACGACGGGUAGCCGGCCUGAGAGGGCGACCGGCCACACUGGGACUGAGAUACGGCCCAGACUCCUACGGGAGGCAGCAGUGGGGAAUAUUGCACAAUGGGCGGAAGCCUGAUGCAGCAACGCCGCGUGCGGGAUGACGGCCUUCGGGUUGUAAACCGCUUUCAGUAGGGACGAAGCUAACGUGACGGUACCUACAGAAGAAGGACCGGCUAACUACGUGCCAGCAGCCGCGGUAAUACGUAGGGUGCAAGCGUUGUCCGGAAUUAUUGGGCGUAAAGGGCUUGUAGGCGGUCCGUCGCGUCAGGAGUGAAAACUCGGGGCUUAACCCCGAGCCUGCUUUUGAUACGGGCGGACUAGAGGGAUGCAGGGGAGAACGGAAUUCCUGGUGGAGCGGUGGAAUGCGCAGAUAUCAGGAGGAACACCGGUGGCGAAGGCGGUUCUCUGGGCAUCACCUGACGCUGAGAAGCGAAAGCGUGGGGAGCAAACAGGCUUAGAUACCCUGGUAGU